This 497-nucleotide ribosomal RNA is filed under the name uncultured bacterium. RNAcentral's name for it is "partial 16S ribosomal RNA". It matches the Rfam family "Bacterial small subunit ribosomal RNA", at positions 28 to 507 of the family's 1533-position model. The record is from RNAcentral.
GAUGAACGCUGGCGGCGUGCCUAAUACAUGCAAGUCGAGCGAACAGACGAGGAGCUUGCUCCUCUGACGUUAGCGGCGGACGGGUGAGUAACACGUGGAUAACCUACCUAUAAGACUGGGAUAACUUCGGGAAACCGGAGCUAAUACCGGAUAAUAUAUUGAACCGCAUGGUUCAAUAGUGAAAGACGGUUUUGCUGUCACUUAUAGAUGGAUCCGCGCCGCAUUAGCUAGUUGGUAAGGCAACGGCUUACCAAGGCAACGAUGCGUAGCCGACCUGAGAGGGUGAUCGGCCACACUGGAACUGAGACACGGUCCAGACUCCUACGGGAGGCAGCAGUAGGGAAUCUUCCGCAAUGGGCGAAAGCCUGACGGAGCAACGCUGCGUGAGUGAUGAAGGUCUUCGGACCGUAAAACUCUGUUAUUAGGGAAGAACAAAUGUGUAAGUAACUAUGCACGUCUUGACGGUACCUAAUCAGAAAGCCACGGCUAACUACGUG